Molecule: long non-coding RNA, 667 nt
Organism: Fopius arisanus
Lineage: Eukaryota; Metazoa; Arthropoda; Insecta; Hymenoptera; Braconidae
Exons: 3
Source: RefSeq, a predicted model, not a curated record
GCGUCCUUUAAUCUUUGGAGAUAUUUAACCUAUAAUUUAUUCAGGGGAUCAAUAUAGAUUGGUCUAGCCUUUUUUUCAUAUAAAAUCACCCCGUAAUAGUAUAUUUCUCACGUAUUGGGACUUUUUUCCUGGACAAAAAAUAAAGCCUAGCAAUGUCGGCAAGGUAGAUGACGAUAAAACAAUGAUGGCAGAGCAGCUGGCUAAAUGUGGUGUUGGACAGUCAAAACACGAGGGUCACCACAAUAGUCACCCAUACGUGAAUGUUUAUAAACAUUUCUCAUGUUUCUUGAUAAUUUGAACCGAAAAUUUUCGACACGGUUGCUCACUUGAGCAGUUAAACAUCCUUAAUAACUUUAUGGGCACAACUGCGAGGGCACCUGGUUGCCCAUCUCUGUGAUAAACACGUGAAAACUCAUCAAUUAAUUUAAAAAAUUCACUUUUUCUCAAACAACUUUUUAACCCUAAAAUGCCGCAAAAAAAGUAUCAGAGUUUUUUGUUUGCAAGCUAAUGGAGAACACUAGGUAUCUGCAAAACAUUAAUUUUUCUGAGGGUCUUAUUCUCUCCCAUUAGCACGAAAAAAUGAUUAAUUAAAAACUGUAAUUUUUAUCAGAAUCUCCGGACAAAAACUCCAUUGGUCAUUUUUUUGAAAAAAAAAAUGUAAUAACGA